GAGCUGGACACGCAUCUACAGUUUUACAGAGUAUGCAUUUGAAACAACAACAUAUGCUAAAAAUAAACAAACAAAAACAAAAACAUUUUUGUUUAAUUUUUCCAGCUCGCAGUUCCCCUCCUCGCCGAACGGUGGCGAUGACGCGCUGUUCCUAGCCGAGGCUAGCUUCGCAUUGACAAACAUUAGCUUCGCUUCCAUAUAAUUCAUCCUUUAUUCCUGCUUUAAUCGAAAUAAUUUCUCGGAUGAAACUGUGGUUUACCUUUGUCUGACCGUAACCCGAGAGGAUAAAGUAAGUUUUCCUCAGUUUUUCCCAGCGCUGAAUCGUCCUCGUACGAGUCAUGUCCAGGUUCAGAGGUCCUCCGAGAGACACAGACCGGCGCCCGUACUUCCACCACGAGCCUCCAUUCGACGACCGGGUCAGGCCGUUCAGAGCGCCCCCUGGAGGAGAUCGCCCGCCCUGGGCCGACAGACCGGACUGGCCUCACCGACCUCCUGCUGAUUGGCCGCCCCCUCACCCCCCGCCUCUGAUUGGCCGCCGCCCCGCCCCGCCGCCUCUCAUUGGUCACCGGACGGCGCUCUGAGCGUGUUGAGCAGCUGCGGUUUAGACGCCAGGGACCUGUCGCUGCUGUCGGAGCUUCCUGAAGACAUGCUGACACUCAAGUCUCUGCCUCAGCUGCUCAGCCAGAUCAAGCAGAAGAAGGACCCGUACCUGCCCCCGGGCCACGACCCGUUACCUCCAUUGACCAAUCACAGGCUCCGUACCCGGGCCCCGCCCUCGGACCCCCGGACGCCGGUUUGUAUCGUGAGCCCGGUCCGUCGCAAAGCGCGUUCGUGGUGGAUUACGAGCACCGCACGUCAGACCUGGACUAUCGCAGCAAGAGUCCGGAGCGCUUCUCCGCUCUCGGAUCCGCCGCGGACCGGGGACGAUCCUUCGAACGGAAGCCGCCCUCCGUUCCUUCGGAAACCCAGGCGCGGGACUUCCACGGGACGAAGCCCACAGACUUCCCCUACUCCUGCUCUCUCUGCGAUAUCACCGUGCUGUCGGAGAACGUUUGGACUCAGCACAUAA
Molecule: long non-coding RNA, 1069 nt
Filed under: Neogobius melanostomus (round goby)
Lineage: Eukaryota; Metazoa; Chordata; Actinopteri; Gobiiformes; Gobiidae
Description: lncRNA (ENSNMLG00000005668.1)
Source: RNAcentral